GGCUGUAAGAGGAAACUGGUUGUGACAUCUGUCAACACAUCGAUUUCCAGGGUUGAUGCAGAUGGUCUGAGGUGAUCUCUGCUCUCUCUCACUGUCCCAUCUGUGCCCCUUCCAAAGCUCCCGCUUGUUCAAAUGAAUGACCUUCUCAAGGAGGACCAGGCAGUGUAUUUUAAAAGCUUUUCCCCUCGCUGUAAUAUCUGUGUCUGUCCAGAAUUUAUUCAAAAAUACAUAAAUCUAUAGAAUGAAUACACAAACUAUUUCCUAGGAGCAGUAUA
RNAcentral lists this small nuclear RNA (275 nucleotides) under Procavia capensis (Cape rock hyrax). Its description in RNAcentral is "7SK RNA (ENSPCAG00000020495.1)". It matches the Rfam family "7SK RNA". Rfam says of the family: 7SK was discovered as an abundant small nuclear RNA in the mid-70s but a possible function has only recently been suggested. Two independent studies have found that 7SK RNA binds the CDK9/cyclin T complex (known as elongation factor P-TEFb). Lineage: Eukaryota; Metazoa; Chordata; Mammalia; Hyracoidea; Procaviidae. The record is from RNAcentral.